Molecule: small nuclear RNA, 107 nt
Organism: Marmota marmota marmota (Alpine marmot)
Lineage: Eukaryota; Metazoa; Chordata; Mammalia; Rodentia; Sciuridae
Source: Ensembl
GUGCUCACUUCAGCAGCACAUAUACUAAAAUUGGAACAAUACAGAAAAGAUUCAUAUGGCCCUUGUGCAAGGACAACAUGCAAGUUUAUGAAGCAUUUCAUAUUUUU